Long non-coding RNA from Anolis carolinensis (green anole), 571 nucleotides. RefSeq lists it as uncharacterized. The transcript has 2 exons. The record is from RefSeq and is a predicted model, not a curated record. NCBI's taxonomy places the organism in Eukaryota, Metazoa, Chordata, Lepidosauria, Squamata, Anolidae.
AAAGGUAGUGUUUGUCUGCUUCAGACCGCCUUUGACCAAUGCUCCUGGUGACUGGCUCUCAACUGACUCAGGCCCUGGCUGCCUGGCUGAAGCAAGGCCCAGAAGAAACACCUGCUGCUUCCAGAGGCUGGGGCAUAAAAGGAGGAUGCCAGCAGGAGCCCAAUCACACAACACCAUUCAAGAGAGCCAAAUAAGGCCUUGAAAUCACAAAGGGCCUAGCAGGGCCUAGCAGGGUGAUGCUGCUACUACUUCUUGACCAAGAAACUUGAGAAACACCACUAUGUUAUCUACAGAAUCGCCUAUUCCUGCAGAAUCAGCCCUUUAGGAUACUUAGAUCCUCAGGAAGAUGCUUACUCCAACCAGCCAGCACCUGACUGGUGACCAUCACACAAAGAACCUUUCCAUCAGCUGUCCAAAGACUGAAAUGACCUGCUGGAAGAAAUCUGACAGCUGAAUGAGCUGUCGUAAUUUAAAACGCAAUUGAAGACCCAUCUCUUCCAGCAUCCCUACGCAGUCAACAUUCAGUCAUGAGUUUUGAUUUACAUUCUAUUGAUACUAUAUGUCAAUUCUA